AUUGAACGCUGGCGGCAUGCCUUACACAUGCAAGUCGAACGGUAACAGGUUAAGCUGACGAGUGGCGAACGGGUGAGUCAUGUAUCGGAACGUGCCCAGUCGUGGGGGAUAACUGCUCGAAAGAGCAGCUAAUACCGCAUACGACCUGAGGGUGAAAGCGGGGGAUCGCAAGACCUCGCGCGAUUGGAGCGGCCGAUAUCAGAUUAGGUAGUUGGUGAGGUAAAGGCUCACCAAGCCGACGAUCUGUAGCUGGUCUGAGAGGACGACCAGCCACACUGGGACUGAGACACGGCCCAGACUCCUACGGGAGGCAGCAGUGGGGAAUUUUGGACAAAGGGCGCAAGCCUGAUCCAGCCAUGCCGCGUGCGGGAAGAAGGCCUUCGGGUUGUAAACCGCUUUUGUCAGGGAAGAAAAGGUUCUGGCUAAUACCUGGGACUCAUGACGGUACCUGAAGAAUAAGCACCGGCUAACUACGUG
This 477-nucleotide ribosomal RNA is filed under the name uncultured bacterium. RNAcentral describes it as "partial 16S ribosomal RNA". It matches the Rfam family "Bacterial small subunit ribosomal RNA", at positions 30 to 507 of the family's 1533-position model. The record is from RNAcentral.